This 557-nucleotide ribosomal RNA is filed under the name uncultured archaeon. RNAcentral describes it as "bacterial SSU rRNA". It matches the Rfam family "Archaeal small subunit ribosomal RNA", at positions 321 to 879 of the family's 1478-position model. The record is from RNAcentral.
CCCUUCGGGGUGCCCAGGCGCGAAAACUUUACAAUGCUGGCAACAGCGAUAAGGGGACCUCGAGUGCCAGGAUACAAUCUUGGCUGUCGCGAUGCCUAAAAAGCAUUGCAUAGCGAGGGCCGGGCAAGACCGGUGCCAGCCGCCGCGGUAACACCGGCGGCUCGAGUGGUAACCGCUAUUAUUGGGUCUAAAGGGUCUGUAGCCGGCCGGAUAAGUCUUUUGGGAAAUCCAGCUGCUCAACAGUUGGGCUUUCAGAAGAUACUGUUCGGCUCGAGACCGGGAGAGGUGAGAGGUACUUCAGGGGUAGGGGUGAAAUCUUGUAAUCCUUGAAGGACCACCAGUGGCGAAGGCGUCUCACCAGAACGGAUCUGACGGCAAGGGACGAAAGCUAGGGGCACGAACCGGAUUAGAUACCCGGGUAGUCCUAGCCGUAAACGAUACUCGCUAGGUGUCAGCCACGGUGCGACCGUGGUUGGUGCCGUAGGGAAGCCGUGAAGCGAGCCACCUGGGAAGUACGGCCGCAAGGCUGAAACUUAAAGGAAUUGGCGGGGGAGCAC